This 497-nucleotide ribosomal RNA is filed under the name uncultured bacterium. RNAcentral's name for it is "partial 16S ribosomal RNA". It matches the Rfam family "Bacterial small subunit ribosomal RNA", at positions 28 to 507 of the family's 1533-position model. The record is from RNAcentral.
GAUGAACGCUGGCGGCGUGCCUAAUACAUGCAAGUCGAGCGAACAGACGAGGAGCUUGCUCCUCUGACGUUAGCGGCGGACGGGUGAGUAACACGUGGCUAACCUACCUAUAAGACUGGGAUAACUUCGGGAAACCGGAGCUAAUACCGGAUAAUAUAUUGAACCGCAUGGUUCAAUAGUGAAAGACGGUUUUGCUGUCACUUAUAGAUGGAUCCGCGCCGCAUUAGCUAGUUGGUAAGGUAACGGCUUACCAAGGCAACGAUGCGUAGCCGACCUGAGAGGGUGAUCGGCCACACUGGAACUGAGACACGGUCCAGACUCCUACGGGAGGCAGCAGUAGGGAAUCUUCCGCAAUGGGCGAAAGCUUGACGGAGCAACGCCGCGUGAGUGAUGAAGGUCUUCGGAUCGUAAAACUCUGUUAUUAGGGAAGAACAAAUGUGUAAGUAACUAUGCACGUCUUGACGGUACCUAAACAGAAAGCCACGGCUAACUACGUG